Molecule: ribosomal RNA, 426 nt
Filed under: uncultured bacterium
Lineage: Bacteria
Description: bacterial SSU rRNA
Rfam family: Bacterial small subunit ribosomal RNA
Source: RNAcentral
UGGGGAAUUUUGGACAAUGGGCGCAUGCCUGAUCCAGCAAUGCCGCGUGCAGGAUGAAGGCCUUCGGGUUGUAAACUGCUUUUGUACGGAACGAAAAAGCUCUCUCUAAUACAGGGGGUGAAUGACGGUACCGUAAGAAUAAGCACCGGCUAACUACGUGCCAGCAGCCGCGGUAAUGCGUAGGGUGCAAGCGUUAAUCGGAAUUACUGGGCGUAAAGCGUGCGCAAGCGGUUUUGUAAGACAGAGGUGAAAUCCCCGGGCUCAACCUGGGAACUGCCUUUGAUACUUUUAUUCUUGAGUUCGGGAGAGAGAGACGGAAUUCCAGGUGUAGUGGUGAAAUACGUAGAUAUCUGGAAGAACACCAGUUGCGAAGGCGGUCUCUUGGUCCGACACUGACGCUGAGGCGCGAAAGCGUGGGGAGCAAAC